This 253-nucleotide ribosomal RNA is filed under the name uncultured bacterium. RNAcentral describes it as "partial 16S ribosomal RNA". It matches the Rfam family "Bacterial small subunit ribosomal RNA", at positions 524 to 776 of the family's 1533-position model. The record is from RNAcentral.
UACAGAGGGUGCAAGCGUUAAUCGGAGUUACUGGGCGUAAAGGGCGCGUAGGCGGUCAUGCAAGUGAGAUGUGAAAUCCCCGGGCUUAACCUGGGAACUGCAUUUUAGACUGUGUGACUGGAGUACCGUAGAGGACAGUGGAAUUUCCGGUGUAGCGGUGAAAUGCGUAGAGAUCGGAAGGAACACCAGUGGCGAAGGCGACUGUCUGGCCAGAUACUGACGCUGAGGCGCGAAAGCGUGGGGAGCAAACAGG